AUUGUCUGAAAGAAAAUAUGGUAUGUCUAAACUGGAAAAGUCCUGUAAUCUUAUGUUCAUGGGCGUUUACACAAUGGAGUUACUGUUCAUCAUGGGGGUACCGUGGACAAUCCCAGGGCUGCCGACAUGAACUUAUGAAUUCAACAGGUGAAGAUUUACUACUUGAUAAAUCAGCUUUGUGAGCUCGAGCUGUAAAAGCCAAAGGUCCGGUGAUGAUCCCAUACCCUUUUUUCCAGUCUCAUGUUGAAGAUUUUUAUGUAGAAGGCCUUCCCAAAGGAAUUUUUUUUUUUUUUUUUGAGAUGGAGUUUUCACUCUUAUCGCCCAGGCUGGGGUGCAGUGGCGCAACCUUGCUGGUCACUGCAACCUCUGCCUCCUGGGUUCAAGAAAUUCUCCUGCCUUAGCCUCCCAAGUCGCUGGGAUUACAGGUGCCCACCACCACACCAGGCUAAUUUUUGUAUUUUUAGUGGAGAUGGGGUUUCACCAUGUUGGCCGGGCCAGUCUCGAACUCCUGACGUCAAGUGAUCUUCCCGCCUCGGCCUUCCAGAGUGCUGAGAUUACAGACGUGAACCCAUGCCUGGCCAGGAAUUUUGUUUUUUAGGAAGGCUUUCUACUAAUGGAAUUCCUGGCCUUGAGAGGAUGUUACUUUCGAAGGAAAGGAUUUUUUUGUUAUUAAAAGAAACAGGACCUUGCCCUGUCACUCAGGAUGGAGUUCAGUGCUCCUAUCAUGGCUCAUUAUAGCCUCAAACUCCCAGGCUCAAGCAAUCCUACCAUGUCAGCCUUCCCGUAGCUGGGACUACAGGUCUCACACUGUCACCCAGGCUGGAGUACAGUGGCAUAACCUCUGCUCACUGCAGCCUCCACCUGCCAGGCUCAAGCAAUUCUCCUGCCUCAGCCUCCCGAGUAGCUGGGAUUACAGGAAGUGAGCUCACAAUGACUCAAGCUGCCACAUACUGUUGAUUGUGAAAUGCCGGUUGAAGUAUAUGUCCUGCGAGCUUAGGGGUGCUACAAGUUGACCACUGCAGCAGUAAAGAUGACUCUGAAGAAUGGCGUGGGAUGGAUCCUUUCAAAUGCACUUGAGCAGCGGUCUCCAACCACAGGGCCACAGAACUGGAGGUGAGCAGCAGGCGAGUGAAGGGAAACUUCAUCUGUAUUUCUAGCCCCUCCCAUCGCUUGCAUGACCACCUGAGCUCCAUGUCCUGUCAGAUCAGCAGCAGCAUUAGAUUCUCAUAGGAGCACAAACUCUGUUGUGAAGUGUGCAUGUGAGGGAUCUAGGUUGUGUACUCCUUAUGAGAAUCUAAUGCCUGAUAUUCUGUUACUGUCUCCCAUCACCCCAGAUGGACAGUCUAGUUGCAGGAAAACAAGCUCAGAGAUCCCACUGAGUCUACGUUAUACUGGAUCUACCAUGAAGGACUUCUGAAUCCAGGAAGAGAGACUGACUGGGCAACAUGUUAUUCAGGUACAAAAAGAUUUGGACUGUAACUUAAAAAUGAUCAAAUAAUAGUGCAUGCAUCAAGUGCAAUGGGAAGCUCUUCUGGAGAGUGAGAGAAGCUUCCAGUUAAGGUGACAUUGAAGCCAAGUCCUGAAAGAUGAGGAAGAGUUGUAUGAGAGUGGGGAGGGAAGGGGGAGGUGGAGGGAUGGGGAAUGGGCCGGGAUGGGAUAGCGCAAACUGCCCGGGAAGGGAAACCAGCACCGUACAGACCUGAACAACGAAGAUGGCGUAUUUUGUUCAGGGAAUGGUGAAUUAAGUGUGGCAGGAAUGCUUUGUAGACACAGUAAUUUGCUUGUAUGGAAUUUUGCCUGAGAGACCUCAUUGCAGUUUCUGAUUUUUUGAUGUCUUCAUCCAUCACUGUCCUUGUCAAAUAGUUUGGAACAGGUAUAAUGAUCACAAUAACCCCAAGCAUAAUAUUUCGUUAAUUCUCACAGAAUCACAUGUAGGUGCCACAGUUAUCUCCAUUUUAUGAAUGGAGUGAUGAAGCCUUAGGAAUAAUGAAUGAUUUGUGCAGGCUCACCUGGAUAUUAAGACUGAGUCAAAUGUUGGGUCUGGUCUGACUUUAAUGUUUGCUUUGUUCAUGAGCACCACAUAUUGCCUCUCCUAUGCAGUUAAGCAGGUAGGUGACAGAAAAGCCCAUGUUUGUCUCUACUCACACACUUCUGACUGAAUGUAUGUAUGGAGUUUCUACACCAAAUUCUUCAGUGCUCUGGAUAUUAACUGGGUAUCCCAUGACUUUAUUCUGACACUACCUGGAGUUAGCACAGACCCCACAAGUUAGGGGCUCAGUCCCACGAGGCCAUCCUCACUUCAGAUGCCAAUGGCAAGUCCUAAGUUGUCACCAUACUUUUGACCAACCUGUUACCAAUCGGGGGUUCCCAUAACUGUCUUCUUGGGUUUAAUAAUUUGCUAGAACAGUUUACGGAACUCAGAAAGACAGUUUAUUUUCUUUUUUUCUGAGAGAGAGGGUCUUAUUUUGUUGCCCAGGCUGGUGUGCAAUGGUGCAGUCAUAGCUCAUUGCAGCCUUGAUUGUCUGGGCUCCAGUGGUUCUCCCACCUCAGCCUCCCUAGUAGCUGAGACUACAUGCCUGCACCACCACAUCUGGCUAGUUUCUUUUAUUUUUUGUAUAGAUGGGGUCUUGUUGUGUUGGCCAGGCUGGCCACAAAUUCCUGGUCUCAAGUGAUCCUCCCACCUCAGCCUCUGAAAGUGCUGGGAUUACAGAUGUGAGCCACCACAUCUGGCCAGUUCAUUUCCUAUUACUGGUUCAUUGUGAAGGAUACAUCUCAGAAACAGUCAAUGAAAGAGACGUGCAUGCUGGAUGCAGUGGCUCAUGCCUGUAAUCUCAGCACUUUGGGAGGCCAAGGUGGGAGGAUCGCUUAAACUCAGGAGUUUGAGACCAGCCUGGGCAACAUGGUGAAAACCUGUCUCUAUAAAAAA
Gorilla gorilla gorilla (western lowland gorilla) is the source of this 2926-nucleotide long non-coding RNA. RefSeq lists it as uncharacterized. The transcript is spliced from 7 exons. The record is from RefSeq and is a predicted model, not a curated record. NCBI's taxonomy places the organism in Eukaryota, Metazoa, Chordata, Mammalia, Primates, Hominidae.